UAAAGAUUAGUUUAUAAAAACAUUAUGCUUGUCAAGCUAAAGAUAUAUAUUUAUAUAUCUUUUU
RNAcentral lists this transfer RNA (64 nucleotides) under Kokeshia sp. NKU02. RNAcentral's name for it is "tRNA-Asp". The record is from RNAcentral. Lineage: Eukaryota; Metazoa; Arthropoda; Insecta; Hemiptera; Schizopteridae.